Molecule: long non-coding RNA, 1036 nt
Organism: Pomacea canaliculata
Lineage: Eukaryota; Metazoa; Mollusca; Gastropoda; Architaenioglossa; Ampullariidae
Exons: 4
Source: RefSeq, a predicted model, not a curated record
UUUAGAUUUCAAUUUGGUAGCAGGAAAAGAAUCUGUUGCAGUCAAGUUGACAGAUAUGUUUACAUCUUCGUCCUUGUUUUGCGACACACACGUUAUUAAGGGGAUGCUAUUGUGUACGAAGCCAUUGUUAUUGACACGGAUUAUUCUCCCUUGCCUCGUUAUCCUUGGGCAUUUUGCGUGUCCAUGCGUAGUUUUAGCACUCUUUUUCAACAGUUCCAUCUGUGUUGACUUGUAACUGUGUGAUUUUAUAUAUUAAGCACCUAUGCUGGCAAUUGUUUUAAAUAAUAAAAAGCUUGUGCAAACUUCAGUCAUCGCACAGUGGAGCAACAAAGUAUUUUCUACUAUAACCACAUAUGUUUUCUGUUAACUAUACCAACACGUUCACAAUCUACAUAUUUUCUUGUUUGUUUAUUUACAAGUGCCUAAAGAAAUCAACUACACCAAAUGCUUGCAAGUUGCUGCAUAAAUAUUUCGUCUGCUAAUUCUCUCCCGUCCUUCCCCAACUUUGAGAAGAGUUACAAUCCUUGGGACCCUUGCAACGGAAGUGGAACCCCGUUUGCUUGUGAACCACGCGGGUUAUUCAAAGAUAGCGACCGAAAAUUGGGAUGAGGCAGCAUCUGCUGUGGCGGAAGCCAUGGACGAAAUAAAAUUGUUCAGAAAAUGGUCUGCCGACGCAGUUGAAGUAUCAGACAUCAGCCUGAUGGAUGAUAUUGCAGUCAAGGAGAAGUAUGCCAAGUUCCUACAACACUCUGCAGGACGUUACCAAGUCAAGCAUUUUCCGUAAGGCUCAACGCCCCAUUGUAGAGCGCUUAGCAUGCAGUCUGAUGUGAUGAUGCAUGGACGUAACAGUGGCAAGAAACUCACGGCCAUUGGCAUUGUAAAGUCUGCUUUUGAGAUCAUCCACCUGUUGACAGGGGAGUAUGGCGACGGAAAAUUGCUAUGAGGCAGCAUCUGCUGUGGCGGAAGCCAUGGACGAAAUAAAAUUGUUCAGAAAAUGGUCUGCCGGCGCUGUUCAAGUAUCAGACAUCAGCCUGAU